AUCUUUUCGGUGUUAGGCACAGGAAGAUUUGAGCUUCCUAGAGGAUUAUUUCCAGAAGAUA
Molecule: transfer RNA, 61 nt
Filed under: Aplysia californica (California sea hare)
Lineage: Eukaryota; Metazoa; Mollusca; Gastropoda; Aplysiida; Aplysiidae
Also listed under: 3 other names
Description: tRNA-Gln
Source: RNAcentral